Molecule: ribosomal RNA, 437 nt
Filed under: Wolbachia pipientis
Lineage: Bacteria; Pseudomonadati; Pseudomonadota; Alphaproteobacteria; Rickettsiales; Anaplasmataceae
Description: bacterial SSU rRNA
Rfam family: Bacterial small subunit ribosomal RNA
Source: RNAcentral
CAUACCUAUUCGAAGGGAUAGGGUCGGUUUGGCCGGAUCUCACACAGGUGUUGCAUGGCUGUCGUCAGCUCGUGUCGUGAGGUGUUGGGUUAAGUCCCGCAACGAGCGCAACCCUCAUCCUUAGUUACCAUCAGGUUAUGCUGGGGACUUUAAGGAAACUGCCAGUGAUAAACUGGAGGAAGGUGGGGAUGAUGUCAAGUCAUCAUGGCCCUUAUGGAGUGGGCUACACACGUGCUACAAUGGUGAUUACAAUGGGCUGCAAGGUCGCAAGGCUGAGCUAAUCCUAAAAAAUCAUCUCAGUUCGGAUUGUUCUCUGCAACUCGAGAGCAUGAAGUUGGAAUCGCUAGUAAUCGUGGAUCAGCAUGCCACGGUGAAUACGUCCUCGGGUCUUGUACGCACUGCCCGUCACGCCAUGGGAAUUGGUUUCACUCGAAGCU